This 500-nucleotide ribosomal RNA is filed under the name uncultured bacterium. RNAcentral's name for it is "bacterial SSU rRNA". It matches the Rfam family "Bacterial small subunit ribosomal RNA", at positions 8 to 518 of the family's 1533-position model. The record is from RNAcentral.
AGAGUUUGAUUCUGGCUCAGGGUGAACGCUGGCGGCGUGCUUAACACAUGCAAGUCGAACGGAGUUACAUGAAACCUAGUGAUUGUAAACUUAGUGGCGGACGGGUGAGUAACGCGUGGGUAACCUGCCUUAUCCAGGGGGAUAACAGUGAGAAAUUACUGCUAAUACCGCAUAAGCGCACAGAAUCGCAUGAUACAGUGUGAAAAGAUUUAUCGGGAUAAGAUGGACCCGCGUCUGAUUAGCUAGUUGGUGAGGUAACGGCCCACCAAGGCGACGAUCAGUAGCCGGCCUGAGAGGGUGAACGGCCACAUUGGGACUGAGACACGGCCCAAACUCCUACGGGAGGCAGCAGUGGGGAAUAUUGCACAAUGGGGGAAACCCUGAUGCAGCGAACCGCCGCGUGAGUGAUGAAGUAUUUCGGUAUGUAAAGCUCUAUCAGCAGGGAAGAAAAUGACGGUACCUGACUAAGAAGCCCCGGCUAACUACGUGCCAGCAGCAGC